RNAcentral lists this ribosomal RNA (253 nucleotides) under uncultured bacterium. RNAcentral's name for it is "partial 16S ribosomal RNA". It matches the Rfam family "Archaeal small subunit ribosomal RNA", at positions 474 to 727 of the family's 1478-position model. The record is from RNAcentral.
UACCAGCACCCCGAGUGGUCGGGACGAUUAUUGGGCCUAAAGCAUCCGUAGCCGGUUCUGCAAGUCCCCCGUUAAAUCCAGCUGCUCAACAGAUGGGCCGCGGAGGAUACUCCAGAGCUAGGAGGCAGGAGAGGCAAGCGGUACUCAGUGGGUAGGGGUAAAAUCCGUUGAUCCAUUGAAGACCACCAGUGGCGAAGGCGGCUAACUGGUCCAGAUCUGACGCUGAGGUGCGAAAGCGUGGGGAGCAAACAGG